RNAcentral lists this long non-coding RNA (1308 nucleotides) under Homo sapiens (human). RNAcentral's name for it is "novel transcript". Lineage: Eukaryota; Metazoa; Chordata; Mammalia; Primates; Hominidae. The record is from RNAcentral.
AGAAAGACACAGAGUUGUGUGUGUCUGCCUUUGCUGUGACAAUUUUCUCUGAGUUUCAAAUUCCAGAUGAAAAUCAUAUGAAGACACAGCAUCAUGUCAGGCAAUAGAGACAAAAGCAUCAACCUUUCGGGAUCAUUUGAUGGAUUAAACAGGAAAACCAAGUAGGUGAUCCUUGUUUCCUCGACCAGUGAAUAGAAAAGUGUGGGCACAUGGGGAAGGCAAGAUCAACCACCCUGAAAUCAGAGAGAAUAACUUAAGAUGAGUUUAACUUGAAUUCAGCUAUGUGGCAUAAACUCCUGAUCCUACAGGAAGAUAGGGGAGAGGGGUGGGGUUCAACAGAGCUAAAGAAACCAAGAAAGGCUUCUAGGCAAUGGAAGAACUUAAGGAAGAAGAAAAGGAAUCCAAUGAUUAUAUUUUUAGCAAUUCGUGUAAAGUAAAUUUCUACAGUGUGUACACCUAAGUGAAAUAAUCCUCAUAAUACCUGUGCAGUGAGUUUCCUUGUAGUUGAAAUUGUUGCCACAUGUUCCAAGAUAUUUUAGGUUUCUUAAAGUGUGAGUCACUGAUAGUUCAUCAAAAUCACCUGGAUGCUGGUUAACGGAAGCUCUUGAAUCCCCCUUCCUCCCGUCCUACUGAAUCAGAAUCUCUUAAGAUAAAACCAGGAACUACAUCUUCAUAAGCUCCCUGGGUAAUUCCUAUAAACAACAUAGUUACAGAACCAUUGUGUGAGUUAUUACCUGCACAUUGGGAAUUACCUGAGAAACUUGAAACGUUCUCAUUCUUCUGUCCUACCCUCAGAGAUAAUGAUUUACUUAAUUAAAUCACCAGCUAGGAAUUGGGAUUUAUAAGAGCUCUACAGGACAUUCCAAUAUCCAGCCCAGUCUGGGACUCACCGGCCUAAGGGUCCAUUUAUAUUUAUGACACACAUGAUUUUCAUCCAGGUAGCACUGGCAGGUGAAAUACAAGACAUUCGGUUAAAUUUGAAUUUCAGAUAAAUAAUGCAUGCUCUUUCUGUUGUUGUUUAACUAUAUGUAUGUUGCAGUUAUUGCAUGGAAUAUAUUCAUACUUUUAAAAUAUUAUUCAGUUAAUCUGGGAACUCUAAGCCCACGUAUCUUUAACUCUAAAUCACAUCGCCUUUUCACUAUUUCCUGGUGUAUCAAUUUCUUAGUUUUGAAGGAUAGGUGAAAUUUGAACAGGGCAAACUCAUUACCAAAACAUUGCUCACAGACACCUCCCAAUAAAAGCAAAUUAAUAUAGAUAUACAAAUGCAAGUGAAAACAUUAUUUAAAGUGAAGUACUUUCAUGAGCCAA